CUGUGCCACGGAACUCGACUUCAAUCCUAUAACUAUCCCGAAUUUAUGUACUGGCAUAGUUACUUAUUGUUUUGUUAUUUCGAGAUAUUUAACAAUUAUAGAUUUCUCUAGUGAGAUGGCUGGAUAUGUUCUUCGCUACGAGACCCAUUGCUAUAUUUUCAGUGUAGAUUUGAACCCUGAUGAUGUCCUAUAGCACUUCUCCAGCUUCUUUACAUCGACUAAAAAUAGCUAGAAACCUAUGAAAGGCUUGAUCUCAGAGAAUCGGUAAUAUGAAAGUAACAUUUCGAAUCUCACAAAUGUACAUCGGCCUCGAGAAGUAUAAACUGCGGCCUAAAUAAACAUGUCACAAGUCUAUCAAUCCAGGAAUGAAACUUGUAUAGUUCCAGAAAAAAAGCAAACAAUGAAAGAAAGGGGGAAAAGAGAGUGAAGAUAUAAAGGAAAUGUAACCAGGCAGAAAAAUAACAAUAUCGCUAAUAUCCACAACAUAAAUUGGACAUCCUGAGCGA
RNAcentral lists this small RNA (506 nucleotides) under Histoplasma capsulatum var. duboisii H88. RNAcentral's name for it is "Histoplasma capsulatum H88 hypothetical RNA". Lineage: Eukaryota; Fungi; Ascomycota; Eurotiomycetes; Onygenales; Ajellomycetaceae. The record is from RNAcentral.